This 736-nucleotide ribosomal RNA is filed under the name uncultured bacterium. Its description in RNAcentral is "bacterial SSU rRNA". It matches the Rfam family "Bacterial small subunit ribosomal RNA", at positions 61 to 799 of the family's 1533-position model. The record is from RNAcentral.
GUCAGGGGGCCCGAAGCGCAAGCUUUGGGCAACCGGCGAACGGGUGCGUAACACGUGAGCAACCUACCCAGGUGUGGGGGAUAGCCGUCCCAACGGACGGGUAAUACCGCAUACGCUCAACACGAGGCAUUUCGAGUUGAGGAAACCUUCGGGGCACCAUGAGGGGCUCGCGGCCUAUCAGCUUGUUGGCGAGGUAACGGCUCACCAAGGCUACGACGGGUAGCUGGUCUGAGAGGAUGGCCAGCCACAUUGGGACUGAGAGACGGCCCAGACUCCUACGGGAGGCAGCAGUGGGGAAUCUUGCGCAAUGGCCUAACGGCUGACGCAGCGACGCCGCGUGAGGGAUGACGCUCUUCGGAGUGUAAACCUCUUUUGCCUGGAACGAACUAUCAGCUUCAGCUGAUUUGACGGUACCGGGUGAAUAAGCACCGGCUAACUCCGUGCCAGCAGCCGCGGUAAUACGGGGGGUGCGAGCGUUGUCCGGAAUCACUGGGCGUAAAGGGCGCGUAGGUGGCGUGAUAAGGGUGUGGUGAAAGCCCGGGGCUCAACCCCGGGUCGGCCAUGCCGACUGUCAGGCUCGAGUACUGUAGGGGCAGGCGGAAUUCCGGGUGUAGCGGUGGAAUGCGUAGAGAUCCGGAGGAAGACCGGUGGCGAAGGCGGCCUGCUGGGCAGUUACUGACACUGAGGCGCGACAGCGUGGGGAGCAAACAGGAUUAGAUACCCUGGUAGAAUCACU